Oncorhynchus tshawytscha (Chinook salmon) is the source of this 1834-nucleotide long non-coding RNA. The record is from Ensembl. NCBI's taxonomy places the organism in Eukaryota, Metazoa, Chordata, Actinopteri, Salmoniformes, Salmonidae.
AUAUCUGAAUUCCUCGAUCUUUAUGCAACUUUGCCAUUUUACUUCUGAUAAUGGGAGAACAAUUGAAAGACAUUGCUGUAGUUCUUCUCAUGUUUGUCUGUUUGCUUGUCUCUUGCUGCUAGAAUUGCAAUCAGUAUUCCAAGAUCUGCAGCUUCAGGAAAAAUGUCAGCUGGAUUUCACAGAUGCAGUGUUUGUGGGUGUACAUGAUGCUGUGCCUCCAAGGGGGUUUUCCAUGCCAACGGAACUGAUGUGGCUGUCAUCCAGGUUCCAUUCGAAGACCCCAUUGUUCCAAGAACUCCUUCAAAAGGCACCUGCACAGAGGGCAUCAGCUUUCAGCGGGGCAUCCAACCGUUCAACUACAUGUGGGAGGUUGGUGUCGGACCUGACCUGGCUAUGCAUCCUAGGUACAUUAUGCUCUAUGAAAACCAGUGACCAUGGACGUUUCUCUCCACCACCAGAUACAUCUGAGGAUAUGACAUUGUACCAAACUGGCUCGUUUGAAAUCCUAUAGAGGUCAGCCAAGACGCUGGAAGUUCAGCAUGCCUCUACCAAACGCUGCCUCGUCACAACUACUGAGCUGAUCUGCGAGACUAGUGUCUUCCACAGAAGGGGUGAAGACUGACAACAAACUUGACUCUGGCCAUCAUUGGUGCAGAACCUCCCUCCUGGACUCCACCUGCAGGCCCCAAGAGACUGUUGACACCCACCAGGGUUCUAACUUUGGACUCUACACCUGUAAAUCAAAGUCAUGGCAGGGUUCAAAGUAUCUAGGCUAGUAGUGGCUUUGUCCCAUAGUAUCUUUAGAUUAAAUUGAUUGGCAAUCCUUUCAGAUGGACUACCAGUGGUGAAUGGGAUCGUGUUCUACAAGCAAUAUUCACCCGAAGACAGGCUUGUCAUCAGACAUCUUAUAGGUAUGGCUCUACAUUUCGUAACGCCUCUGCGUAACGUGCACACUAUCGGAUUUGUCAAAAGAAACAUUGGAUAUCUGGUCCUAAAGGGGCUGCGCUACUAAGCAGUGUCCCACUCAACCCAUUGUAUGCUGAUGGGAUAUUUAAUUUACUUUCUGAAUGACAAAAUGUAAUGUGACUAACUGGUUAAUGAGUGCUUUUGACUAGAACAAUCUUAAUGUGCUUUUGAAGUUUGGACUUUCAAUCUCAGGAUCUUUGAGGGAGACUCAGUCACACACUCGCUGACCAGGUUCCAAUAAACUGAGUCUUCAGUAAACAGCUGGGUUCCAAAUGACCUGAUGGAAUUACCUUUUUCUUCAGUUUAGCUUUGCCAGAGGCUAGACUCCCAUUGUGAUUCCUCGGACUCUGACGAUGACAGAGACUACAAAGUAUCCUGUUACAACAAUCUACUAAAUGAAUUUGGGUCCCCUGGCCACACCCAGCAAUUUAAACUAGCAUUGAAUCAAUACUUUCAUGUUAUUACUCUAUUUAAAAUGAAUAAAUUGUUGGCUCUUGUAGACUUCCUCCAGUAUCUUUGUUUUUAAGCUUGAUAUAUUGCUCUUAACUGCAGACUUCAAGGAGGGUGUCUGAUGGACUUAGUGAUGUGCAAAUUCCAUGUUUUGUGCAGCUGUAUAAAGAUAACAGUGGGACUGCCUGUGUAAACGCAGCCAAUUAUUUUUCCAGUAGUUGAUUGUCUCCAAUAGGGUAAAAGAUAAUGACUGCCUGUGUAAAUGCAGCCUUUGCUCAGGGGUAUACAACUCAUACCCUACAAGGUCCAGCGCCUGCUGGUUUUGCUCUGCUAAUGACCUUGUGUUCCAGGUCUAAAAUCGGUCCCAAAAAUUCCAGUCCUGAAUUUGCAUCCAGGAAUGUGUUUACUUGUGGUGAGC